This 685-nucleotide ribosomal RNA is filed under the name Klebsiella pneumoniae. RNAcentral describes it as "partial 23S ribosomal RNA". It matches the Rfam family "Bacterial large subunit ribosomal RNA", at positions 2117 to 2801 of the family's 2925-position model. The record is from RNAcentral. Lineage: Bacteria; Pseudomonadati; Pseudomonadota; Gammaproteobacteria; Enterobacterales; Enterobacteriaceae.
CUGAACAUUGAGCCUUGAUGUGUAGGAUAGGUGGGAGGCUUUGAAGCGUGGACGCCAGUCUGCGUGGAGCCAACCUUGAAAUACCACCCUUUAAUGUUUGAUGUUCUAACGUUGGCCCCUGACCGGGGUUGCGGACAGUGUCUGGUGGGUAGUUUGACUGGGGCGGUCUCCUCCCAAAGCGUAACGGAGGAGCACGAAGGUUAGCUAAUCCUGGUCGGACAUCAGGAGGUUAGUGCAAUGGCAUAAGCUAGCUUGACUGCGAGCGUGACGGCGCGAGCAGGUGCGAAAGCAGGUCAUAGUGAUCCGGUGGUUCUGAAUGGAAGGGCCAUCGCUCAACGGAUAAAAGGUACUCCGGGGAUAACAGGCUGAUACCGCCCAAGAGUUCAUAUCGACGGCGGUGUUUGGCACCUCGAUGUCGGCUCAUCACAUCCUGGGGCUGAAGUAGGUCCCAAGGGUAUGGCUGUUCGCCAUUUAAAGUGGUACGCGAGCUGGGUUUAGAACGUCGUGAGACAGUUCGGUCCCUAUCUGCCGUGGGCGCUGGAGAAUUGAGGGGGGCUGCUCCUAGUACGAGAGGACCGGAGUGGACGCAUCACUGGUGUUCGGGUUGUCAUGCCAAUGGCACUGCCCGGUAGCUAAAUGCGGAAGAGAUAAGUGCUGAAAGCAUCUAAGCACGAAACUUGCCCCG